RNAcentral lists this ribosomal RNA (459 nucleotides) under uncultured bacterium. RNAcentral's name for it is "bacterial SSU rRNA". It matches the Rfam family "Bacterial small subunit ribosomal RNA", at positions 29 to 513 of the family's 1533-position model. The record is from RNAcentral.
AACGAACGCUGGCGGCAUGCCUAACACAUGCAAGUCGAACGAGACCUUCGGGUCUAGUGGCGCACGGGUGCGUAACGCGUGGGAACCUGCCUUUAGGUUCGGAAUAAACUCAGAGAAAUUUGAGCUAAUACCGGAUAAUGUCUUCGGACCAAAGAUUUAUCGCCUUUAGAUGGGCCCGCGUUGGAUUAGCUAGUUGGUGGGGUAAAGCCUACCAAGGCGACGAUCCAUAGCUGGUCUGAGAGGAUGAUCAGCCACACUGGGACUGAGACACGGCCCAGACUCCUACGGAGGCAGCAGUGGGGAAUAUUAGGACAAUGGGCGCAAGCCUGAUCCAGCCAUGCCGCGUGCAGGAUGACGGUCCUAUGGAUUGUAAACUGCUUUAUUACAGGAAGAAACACUACUUCGUGAAGUAGCUUGACGGUACUGUAAGAAUAAGGAUCGGCUAACUCCGUGCCAGCA